RNAcentral lists this ribosomal RNA (406 nucleotides) under uncultured bacterium. RNAcentral's name for it is "partial 16S ribosomal RNA". It matches the Rfam family "Bacterial small subunit ribosomal RNA", at positions 30 to 526 of the family's 1533-position model. The record is from RNAcentral.
AUUGAACGCUGGCGGCAGGCCUAACACAUGCAAGUCGAGCGAGCGGCGGACGGGUGAGUAAUGUCUGGGAAACUGCCUGAUGGAGGGGGAUAACUACUGGAAACGGUAGCUAAUACCGCAUACCAUCGGAUGUGCCCAGAUGGGAUUAGCUAGUAGGGGGGGUAAAGGCUCACCUAGGCGACGAUCCCUAGCUGGUCUGAGAGGAUGACCAGCCACACUGGAACUGAGACACGGUCCAGACUCCUACGGGAGGCAGCAGGGGGGAAUAUUGCACAAUGGGAGCAAGCCUGAUGUAGCCACGCCGCGUGUGUGAAGAAGGACUUCGGUUUGUAAAGUACUUUCAGCGAGUAGGCGUUACUCGCAGAAGAAGCACCGGCUAACUCCGUGCCAGCAGCCGCGGUAAUAC